Molecule: ribosomal RNA, 336 nt
Filed under: Triticum aestivum (bread wheat)
Lineage: Eukaryota; Viridiplantae; Streptophyta; Magnoliopsida; Poales; Poaceae
Description: partial small subunit ribosomal RNA
Source: RNAcentral
AUGGCUCCCCCUACGCCGUCCUCGUCUCCGAUGCCGGUUAUGGACGCACGGAUGAGGCUGAUAAUCCAGGCAGCAGCACUGAUUAGUGUGAUUCAGGCAUGGGGCAUGUUCAUGCACCAGAGAGUUCAUCGUGCUGGGAGACCUUUGAUCCGCUAUGGUCCAUUGUUUCCCCGGGAACAGGAGAGGAUCCAAAAUUUGAACUACAUCUACAACUGCAAUGACGUCGAGGCUCUGUGGAUGCUUAGAAUGAAAAGAGCGGCAUUUGCCAGGCUUGUCGAGACCUUCAGGAGCAGGGGGCUGUUACAAGAUAGCAUCAACACCAGUGUCGAAGAGUAA